GUAGGCAGCGAGCGUUGUUCGGAAUUACUGGGCGUAAAGAGUGUGUAGGCGGCUUCGUAAGUUUGGUGUGAAAUCUCCCGGCUUAACUGGGAGGGUGCGCCGAAGACUGCGAGGCUCGAGUAUGGGAGGGGAAAGCGGAAUUCCUGGUGUAGCGGUGAAAUGCGUAGAUAUCAGGAGGAACACCUGCGGUGUAGACGGCUUUCUGGACCAUCACUGACGCUGAGACACGAAAGCGUGGGUAGCAAACAGGAUUAGAUACCCUGGUAGUCCACGCCCUAAACGAUGCAUACUUGGUGUGAGCCAUUCAGUUGGUUCGUGCCGGAGCUAACGCGUUAAGUAUGCCGCCUGGGGAGUACGGUCGCAAGGCUG
RNAcentral lists this ribosomal RNA (369 nucleotides) under uncultured bacterium. Its description in RNAcentral is "bacterial SSU rRNA". It matches the Rfam family "Bacterial small subunit ribosomal RNA", at positions 527 to 896 of the family's 1533-position model. The record is from RNAcentral.